CUGCGGAGUCAUUUCCAUACGGAUACAUGCCUGCAGCUCCUCACAUGCCGCAGUUUGGAGCUCCUGGGAUGAUAAUGGGGAAGCCUGUUAUGGACCCUGCUUUAUAUGCCCAGCAGCCACCCAACUACAUGGCUAGGCAAGGGUGGCCACAGGGGUCAGAGCAGCAGCAGCAGCAACAACAACAGCAGUCACCUUCGGGUCACUAGUGACUGACGUGAGAAGCUGGGGGGAAAAGAGUGGACUCCACAACAUUCUGGGAUGGCAACAGAAUGGGACAAGGUGGCAGAGGUGUCCUCGGUCAUCCUCGAAAGGAGGAAAACUCGGACGGUUGAGGCGAAGACAAGUAGAUUUUCUGUAAAUUUCUAUAUGCAUUACAAAGGAUAGGUGUUGAUGUUGAUUCAACCAUUUUCUUAAUGCCGUUCAAUCUACUACCAACAAUCUGAGAACAUUGGUCAAAGAUGUACAAAUAGAAAUUAUACCUUGAAGUUUGCUUAAAUUUUAAACAUAA
Carica papaya (papaya) is the source of this 508-nucleotide non-coding RNA. The record is from RefSeq and is a predicted model, not a curated record. Lineage: Eukaryota; Viridiplantae; Streptophyta; Magnoliopsida; Brassicales; Caricaceae.